GAUGAACGCUGGCGGCGUGCUUAACACAUGCAAGUCGAACGAAGCAUUUAGGACAGAUUACUUCGGUUUGAAGUUCUUUAUGACUGAGUGGCGGACGGGUGAGUAACGCGUGGGUAACCUGCCUUGUACUGGGGGAUAGCAGCUGGAAACGGCUGGUAAUACCGCAUAAGCGCACAAUGUUGCAUGACAUGGUGUGAAAAACUCCGGUGGUAUAAGAUGGACCCGCGUCUGAUUAGCUAGUUGGUGAGAUAACAGCCCACCAAGGCGACGAUCAGUAGCCGACCUGAGAGGGUGACCGGCCACAUUGGGACUGAGACACGGCCUAGACUCCUACGGGAGGCAGCAGUGGGGAAUAUUGCACAAUGGAGGAAACUCUGAUGCAGCGACGCCGCGUGAGUGAAGAAGUAAUUCGUUAUGUAAAGCUCUAUCAGCAGGGAAGAUAGUGACGGUACCUGACUAAGAAGCUCCGGCUAAAUACGUG
RNAcentral lists this ribosomal RNA (481 nucleotides) under uncultured bacterium. RNAcentral's name for it is "partial 16S ribosomal RNA". It matches the Rfam family "Bacterial small subunit ribosomal RNA", at positions 28 to 507 of the family's 1533-position model. The record is from RNAcentral.